UGAAAGUUUGUCGACAUUGGGAAAGCUAGAAACCUUGAACCUUGGCUAUAACAGUUUCAACCAGACAAUCAUACGACAACUGAGCACAUUGACAUCUCUUAAAAAUCUUAUUCUAGAUAAUAAUAUCAAUUUUGAAGGAUCUUUUCCAGCUCAAGAAUUAUCCGCUUUGAAAAACUUGGUGACGCUAGAUUUGAGUUGGGAUAAACUUAAUACCUUGAAAAUUGAAGGUGGUAAAGGACUGGUGAAGUUGAACAAGCUGGAGCAUCUAGAUCUAAGCUCCAACAAUUUAACCGACACGCAUAUCUUAGAGUUUUUGGCUACCCUGCCAGCCCUCAAAUCUCUAUCCCUGGCCGACAACUACAUGGAACAACCACUUUCCGACCAAGGUAUGUGAAAAUAGAAAACAAUGGAUUGGUAAACAUUCAUAGUAUAAUGCAAGAUGGUUUGGGUUCAUACAAAUUCAUUUGAAUCAAUUAGGCUUUGUUUGGAUAAUUGCAUAAGGUUAUACUUUUUAACUUGAAGCAUCCAUUCAAUAAGUAAAAUGAGAACAAAGCUAGGAAACAAUG
Long non-coding RNA from Vitis vinifera (wine grape), 566 nucleotides. RefSeq lists it as uncharacterized. NCBI's taxonomy places the organism in Eukaryota, Viridiplantae, Streptophyta, Magnoliopsida, Vitales, Vitaceae. The transcript has 3 exons. The record is from RefSeq and is a predicted model, not a curated record.